Molecule: non-coding RNA, 616 nt
Organism: Cicer arietinum (chickpea)
Lineage: Eukaryota; Viridiplantae; Streptophyta; Magnoliopsida; Fabales; Fabaceae
Source: RefSeq, a predicted model, not a curated record
CUAUCUGUCAUUAAAAUAAUAUCACAACUAUGUAUUGGAUAUCUCAAAAUAAGAUGUUCCAAAUAACUUUCAUAAUAAAUCUUGCAAUCAAAAACAUUUAGAGAUAAAAACAGCUCCUGAAAAUAUUUGAUAAUGUCAAAAAUACCAGUCUAGUUACGACAAUCAAACAAUAACAGAUACUUCCAGUUCAAUUCCAAUGCUUCAACCAACUAGAUAAAUCACCAGAAAUAUAAUUGUCAUAAGAGUUAUUGAGGCAUCCAUCCAUAACAAACCAUGAUCAACAGACCUUUAGAGUUGGUACACCCGGUUAAAUUUUUAUUUGCAAAAUGGAAGGUUCUCUUUAUUUUGAAGCAGAAGAUUGAAGGUUCUUGAAUAUUGAAGGUCCUAAUAUGUAUCAAUUAGAACCAAGCACCCAAAUUUAUUUGAAUGAAAAUUCCAAAAUUGUGUGAAACUCCAAUAUUGUAGUAAAGUAAAAAAUUCUUUGAAUAUAUUGAGAAAGAACACAUUUUCUCAAUUAAGGUUUUUUUCCUUAAGUAGAAGAUUGAAUGUUCUUGAAUAAUCAAUAAUGAAAAAAUAGAUAUCUCAUUCAUAAACAUACAGGCAAAAAUUGUUGGCA